Molecule: ribosomal RNA, 442 nt
Filed under: uncultured bacterium
Lineage: Bacteria
Description: bacterial SSU rRNA
Rfam family: Bacterial small subunit ribosomal RNA
Source: RNAcentral
AACGCGAAGAACCUUACCCAGGCUCGACAUGUAGAGGACAACAUCUGAAAGGAUGCCUCCCGCAAGGGUCUCUAUAUAGGUGCUGCAUGGCUGUCGUCAGCUCGUGCCGUGAGGUGUUGGGUUAAGUCCCGCAACGAGCGCAACCCUUAUUGUUAGUUGCCAACGAGUCAAGUCGGGAACUCUAACAAGACUGCCUGGGUUAACCAGGAGGAAGGUGAGGAUGACGUCAAGUCCGCAUGGCCUUUAUGUCUGGGGCCACACACGUGCUACAAUGGCAGGUACAGAAGGCAGCGAAGCCGCAAGGUAGAGCAAAUCCUAAAAAACCUGUCUCAGUUCGGAUUGUAGUCUGCAACUCGACUACAUGAAGUUGGAAUUGCUAGUAAUGGCGGGUCAGCUACACCGCCGUGAAUACGUUCCCGGGCCUUGUACACACCGCGUGUCU